GUCCAGACUCCUACGGGAGGCAGCAGUGGGGAAUAUUGGGCAAUGGGCGCAAGCCUGACCCAGCGACGCCGCGUGAGGGAAGACGGUCUUCGGAUUGUAAACCUCUUUCAGCAGGGAAGACAAAAGGACGGUACCUGCAGAAGAAGCCACGGCUAACUACGUGCCAGCAGCCGCGGUAAUACGUAGGUGGCAAGCGUUAUCCGGAAUUACUGGGUGUAAAGGGUGUGUAGGCGGGGCUGCAAGUCAGAUGUGAAAAUUAUGGGCUCAACCCAUAACCUGCAUUUGAAACUGUAGUUCUUGAGUGAUGGAGAGGCAGGCGGAAUUCCGUGUGUAGCGGUGAAAUGCGUAGAUAUACGGAGGAACACCAGUGGCGAAGGCGGCCUGCUGGACAUUAACUGACGCUGAGGCGCGAAAGCGUGGGGAGUAAACAGGAUUAGAUACCCUAGUAAU
RNAcentral lists this ribosomal RNA (450 nucleotides) under uncultured bacterium. RNAcentral's name for it is "bacterial SSU rRNA". It matches the Rfam family "Bacterial small subunit ribosomal RNA", at positions 329 to 794 of the family's 1533-position model. The record is from RNAcentral.